UUGGAUCGUGCUAUUGAUGCAGAAGAAGAACAGCACAGGGAUUUCCUGCGGCUGAAUCAUAUUGAAGGAUAUCAUGAAUUGUCAUCAAAAACACAAAUAUACUUGUCAACUGCUGUUGCUAGGUGGGACGCUGACUUCUACAUUAAAGUUGAUGAUGAUGUACACAUAAAUCUUGGUAUGGUUGGCUCUACUUUGGCACGUCAUAGAUCAAAACCCCGUGUUUAUAUUGGUUGUAUGAAAUCUGGACCUGUUCUAUCACAGAAAGGUGUCAAGUACCA
This 278-nucleotide unclassified non-coding RNA is filed under the name Hevea brasiliensis (rubber tree). Lineage: Eukaryota; Viridiplantae; Streptophyta; Magnoliopsida; Malpighiales; Euphorbiaceae. The record is from RNAcentral.